This 72-nucleotide transfer RNA is filed under the name Pseudocercospora pini-densiflorae CBS 125139. RNAcentral describes it as "tRNA-Thr (TGT) (tRNA-Thr-TGT-4-1)". It matches the Rfam family "tRNA". From Rfam's summary of the family: Transfer RNA (tRNA) molecules are approximately 80 nucleotides in length. Their secondary structure includes four short double-helical elements and three loops (D, anti-codon, and T loops). The record is from RNAcentral. Lineage: Eukaryota; Fungi; Ascomycota; Dothideomycetes; Mycosphaerellales; Mycosphaerellaceae.
GCUGAUCUGGUCCAACGGUAAGAUACAGGAUAUGUAUUCCUGGGAUGCGUGGUUCGAUUCCGGCGGUCAGCA